AGAAUCAACGCUGGCGGCGUGCCUAACACAUGCAAGUCGAACGAGAAGUGGAGCAAUCCAUGAGUAAAGUGGCGACCGGGUGAGUAACACGUGACUAACCUACCCUCGAGUGGGGAAUAACAUCGGGAAACCGAUGCUAAUACCGCAUAACAUCGCAAGAUCAAAGCCGAAAGGCGCUUGAGGAGGGGGUCGCGGCUGAUUAGCUAGUUGGUAGGGUAAUGGCCUACCAAGGCUUAGAUCGGUAGCCGGCCUGAGAGGGCGCACGGCCACACUGGAACUGAAACACGGUCCAGACUCCUACGGGAGGCAGCAGUGGGGAAUUUUGCGCAAUGGGGGAAACCCUGACGCAGCAACGCCGCGUGGAGGAUGAAGUCCCUUGGGACGUAAACUCCUUUCGACCGGGACGAUACUGACGGUACCGGAUGAAGAAGCACCGGCUAACUCUGCGCCAGCAGCCGC
RNAcentral lists this ribosomal RNA (459 nucleotides) under uncultured bacterium. RNAcentral describes it as "SSU rRNA". It matches the Rfam family "Bacterial small subunit ribosomal RNA", at positions 26 to 518 of the family's 1533-position model. The record is from RNAcentral.